Scylla paramamosain (green mud crab) is the source of this 350-nucleotide long non-coding RNA. RefSeq lists it as uncharacterized. The transcript has 3 exons. NCBI's taxonomy places the organism in Eukaryota, Metazoa, Arthropoda, Malacostraca, Decapoda, Portunidae. The record is from RefSeq and is a predicted model, not a curated record.
CCCUCACUCAGUCCUCAGCCCUUAGCGCUCAACCCUCCGGCCCGCCAGACAAUGAGGGCCAGCUAAUGGAUCUGAGAUAAAGUUCGGUAAACACCUGCUUUCAAGGUCUCCACCGACAAGACAGACUGGUGCUCCCCACUCAUGCCCCUCACGCAGACCUGAGGUGUGGCAGGCCAGCAGGAGGCAUCACCCACCACGCCUCUCCCACCACCUCUCCCAUGACCGCCACACCCGCAGGCACCCGUGUGAGAUGAAGGCCUCUGGAUGGACCAGGCCGCCCCUCGCACAAACAUCCCAGCACGGCGUGGGAUGGAGGGAGGGAAAGAAGGACGUAUAUUGCUCAAGGUAUG